RNAcentral lists this ribosomal RNA (98 nucleotides) under Klebsiella pneumoniae subsp. pneumoniae. The record is from RNAcentral. Lineage: Bacteria; Pseudomonadati; Pseudomonadota; Gammaproteobacteria; Enterobacterales; Enterobacteriaceae.
UGGCGGCACUAGCGCGGUGGUCCCACCUGACCCCAUGCCGAACUCAGAAGUGAAACGCCGUAGCGCCGAUGGUAGUGUGGGGUCUCCCCAUGUGAGUC